GACGAACGCUGGCGGCGUGCUUAACACAUGCAAGUCGAACGGAAAGGCCCUGCUUGCAGGGUGCUCGAGUGGCGAACGGGUGAGUAACACGUGGGUGAUCUGCCCCUUACUUUGGGAUAAGCCUGGGAAACUGGGUCUAAUACGGGAUAGGACCAGGCUGUAGGUGGUGUGGUGGAAAGAUUAGUUUCGGUAAGGGAUGAGACCGCGGCCGAGCAGCGUGUUGGUGGGGUAAUGGCCUACCAAGGCGUCGACGGGUAGCCGGCCUGAGAGGGUGGACGGCCACAUUGGGACUGAGAUACGGCACAGACUCCUAAGGGCGGCACCAGUGGUCCCUCUUCCCCCCUCUGCCCCAGCCUGAUGCAGCGCCGCCGCGUGGGGGAUGCCGGCCUUCGGGUUGUAAACUCCUUUCGGCCAUGACGAAGCCCUUGUGGUGACGGUAGUGGUAGAAGACGCACCGGCUAACUACGUG
RNAcentral lists this ribosomal RNA (469 nucleotides) under uncultured bacterium. RNAcentral describes it as "partial 16S ribosomal RNA". It matches the Rfam family "Bacterial small subunit ribosomal RNA", at positions 28 to 507 of the family's 1533-position model. The record is from RNAcentral.